This 475-nucleotide ribosomal RNA is filed under the name Micrococcus luteus. RNAcentral's name for it is "bacterial SSU rRNA". It matches the Rfam family "Bacterial small subunit ribosomal RNA", at positions 28 to 523 of the family's 1533-position model. The record is from RNAcentral. Lineage: Bacteria; Bacillati; Actinomycetota; Actinomycetes; Micrococcales; Micrococcaceae.
AGAGAAACGCUGGCGGCGUGCUUACACAUGCAAGUCGAACGAUGAAGCCCAGCUUGCUGGGUGGAUUAGUGGCGAACGGGUGAGUAACACGUGAGUAACCUGCCCUUAACUCUGGGAUAAGCCUGGGAAACUGGGUCUAAUACCGGAUAGGAGCGCCUACCGCAUGGUGGGUGUUGGAAAGAUUUAUCGGUUUUGGAUGGACUCGCGGCCUAUCAGCUUGUUGGUGAGGUAAUGGCUCACCAAGGCGACGACGGGUAGCCGGCCUGAGAGGGUGACCGGCCACACUGGGACUGAGACACGGCCCAGACUCCUACGGGAGGCAGCAGUGGGGAAUAUUGCACAAUGGGCGCAAGCCUGAUGCACGACGCCGCGUGAGGGAUGACGGCCUUCGGGUUGUAAACCUCUUUCAGUAGGAAGAAGCGAAAGUGACGGUACCUGCAAAAACCCGGCUAACUACGUGCCACCGCAGCGAUAA